GACGAACGCUGGCGGCGUGCUUAACACAUGCAAGUCGAACGGAAAGGCCCCUUUGGGGGUCCUCGAGUGGCGAACGGGGGAGUAACACGUGAGUAACCUGCCCUUGACUUCGGGAUAACUUCAGGAAACUGGGGCUAAUACCGGAUAGGAAUCCUUGCUGCAUGGGGGGGGUUGGAAAGCUUCGGCGGGUUUGGAUGGACUCGCGGCUUAUCAGCUUGUUGGUGGGGUAGUGGCUUACCAAGGCUUUGACGGGUAGCCGGCCUGAGAGGGCGACCGGCCACAUUGGGACUGAGAUACGGCCCAGACUGCGACGGGAGGCAGCAGUGGGGAAUAUUGCACAAUGGGCGGAAGGCUGAUGCAGCAACGCCGCGUGCGGGAUGACGGCCUUCGGGUUGUAAACCGCUUUCAGCAGGGGCGAAGCUUGUGGUGACGGUACCUGCAGAAGAAGCACCGGCUAACUACGUG
This 465-nucleotide ribosomal RNA is filed under the name uncultured bacterium. Its description in RNAcentral is "partial 16S ribosomal RNA". It matches the Rfam family "Bacterial small subunit ribosomal RNA", at positions 28 to 507 of the family's 1533-position model. The record is from RNAcentral.